RNAcentral lists this ribosomal RNA (1923 nucleotides) under Triticum aestivum (bread wheat). RNAcentral describes it as "partial small subunit ribosomal RNA". Lineage: Eukaryota; Viridiplantae; Streptophyta; Magnoliopsida; Poales; Poaceae. The record is from RNAcentral.
AUGACAUCAAUGGAUAUGAGUAUACCGUUUCAUGUCUUGGAGCAAACUACAGAGAAAUUCUCCGACAAGCAGAUGAUUGGAAGUGGAGGCUACGGAAAAGUUUACAAGGGAGUUUACAAUGGAGAACACAUUGCUGUCAAAUUGUUUUAUGGUGUGCAAGCACUUGACAAGACAUUUGAGAAUGAAUGCUUUAACAUUCUGAGGAUCCAACAUCCAAAUAUUAUACGGUUAGUUGGCUACUGUUAUGAAACACAACGUAAACAUGUUAUGUACAAUGGUGAACUGCGGUUUUCUGAUCACAUAUAUAGAAUUCUCUGCUUUGAGUUAAUGCAGGGAGGAAGCCUAGACAAGUACCUCAAUGAAUCUCGUGACUAUGACUGGCCAACAUGUUACGAUAUAAUAAAGGGGACCUGUGAAGGUUUAAAUUUCCUUCACACGGGAUGUGGAUCACAAAUUCUUCACCUGGAUCUAAAACCAGGAAACAUAUUACUAGAUAAGGACAUGCGAGCAAAAGUUGCAGAUUUCGGGUUGUCAAGGUUCUUGAGUAAACAACAUACCCACAUCACAAAUACAAUUGCAGGAACAGACGGUUAUAUGCCACCAGAGUUCUGGUCCAAAAGACAGAUUUCACCGAAGAAUGAUGUUUAUAGUUUAGGAAUUAUAAUCAUAGAAAUUUUGGUUGGACGUAGAGGCUACUUGGAAUUUCAUGAAAUGGAUGAUGUCACACCAUUUAAUAAGCUGGUAAUUGAGAAAUGGCAGAAAUGGAUAUGUGCAAUGACAUCACCAUGCCCAUCAGCAGAAAUAGAUCAAGUGGAGACUUGCAUCAAAAUAGCAAUAAAAUGUGUGGAUCGUGAACGAGAGAAUAGACCCACUGUAGCAGAAAUUUUGAAUACCCUGCGGGAGACAGAAAAAAGGUUUCAUCUCUUGGGCCAGAGCUUGCCCACUCCCACUAAGAUUGGACCAAGGGGUGGAAUGGGAGGUUCUAUUUGUGAUAUCGAAGAAAAUCCUUGGCGCCUGACAAGUCUCACGAUUUUCUGUAGAGGGAUAAUUGAUUCGAUCUCAUUUUCUUACAUCGACCAAUAUGGGAGGAAGCAACAUGUAGGUCCCUGGGGCGUAGACUACAUUAGCCAGAAUACUGAAACGAUCUGCUUUGGCUCUUCGGAGUUUGUCGAGGAAGUAUCUGGAGCAUACGGGAAUUAUAGGGGAAUCCUUCGUGUGAUAUCCCUUACGUUUGUCACCAAUGUCAGAACCUACGGACCUUUCGGAAAUCCUUAUCAUGAACAUAUGGCAGGACUAACUCAUUUCAGGUUCAUGGCUGAUGAGGGCAGCCGCAUCGUUGGUUUCCAUGGUAGAUCCGGCAGCUAUAUCGACGCCAUUGGUGUUUACAUGUAUCCCAACGAUAGGACGACAGUCGGGCUUAUUUCUGUGCCGCUGAUUCUCGAUGGCCAGGGCUUGCCCACCCCCACUAAGAGUGGAUCCUGGGGUGGAAGCGGAGGUAGUGCUCGAGACAUUAAUCAAAAGUCCUGGCGUCUGACAAGUCUCACGGUUAGCUACAAAGGGUUAAUCGAUGCAUUCUCCUUUUCUUACAUCGACCAAGCUGGGAAGAAGCAAAGUGUUGGUCCUUGGGGCGAAGGAUACUACAAUGACACGACUAAGACGAUCAGCUUUGGCCCAGCGGAGUUUGUCAAGGAAGUAUGUGGAGCAUACGGGAAUCACAAUGGAAUCGUUAUCGUGAAGUUCCUUACGUUUGUCACCAACGAAGGAACGUACGGACCUUUCGGAACUCCUGAUCAUCCAGGUCCAGACGUGUCGGCAACUCAUUUCAGGUUCGUGGCUGACGAGGGCAGCACCAUCGUGGGGUUCUAUGGUAGAUCUGGCAGAUAUAUUGAUGCCAUCGGUGUUUACACAGUGCGAGUUAGAUAA